AGUGAACGCUGGCGGUAGGCCUAACACAUGCAAGUCGAACGGCAGCACAGUAAGAGCUUGCUCUUACGGGUGGCGAGUGGCGGACGGGUGAGGAAUACAUCGGAAUCUACUUUUUCGUGGGGGAUAACGUAGGGAAACUUACGCUAAUACCGCAUACGACCUACGGGUGAAAGCAGGGGAUCUUCGGACCUUGCGCGAUUGACUGAGCCGAUGUCGGAUUAGCUAGUUGGCGGGGUAAAGGCCCACCAAGGCGACGAUCCGUAGCUGGUCUGAGAGGAUGAUCAGCCACACUGGAACUGAGACACGGUCCAGACUCCUACGGGAGGCAGCAGUGGGGAAUAUUGGACAAUGGGCGCAAGCCUGAUCCAGCCAUACCGCGUGGGUGAAGAAGGCCUUCGGGUUGUAAAGCCCUUUUGUUGGGAAAGAAAAGCAGCAGGUUAAUACCCCGCUGUUCUGACGGUACCCAAAGAAUAAGCACCGGCUAACUUCGUG
This 492-nucleotide ribosomal RNA is filed under the name uncultured bacterium. RNAcentral's name for it is "partial 16S ribosomal RNA". It matches the Rfam family "Bacterial small subunit ribosomal RNA", at positions 29 to 507 of the family's 1533-position model. The record is from RNAcentral.